AAUGGUGAGAUGGAAGUUGCAAAGGAAGUCAUUUGGGACCUUUCAGAAGUAUAGUAUCCUGAAACACCAAGCAAAUUCAGACCUUCAUGCUGAGGUGAAUUUGUAAAGGGUCAUUGGGCGUACCCUUUGGGAGAACUGAUACGGCCUUCAGACCUUUGACCAAAACAGAUAAAAUAAACACAGAAAGAUAUACCAAGAAUGACUUAAAGGGAGGAAGCAAAGGAGUCCAAUAAUGUAUUACAUUUCAACAUAAAGGAGAAGGAUGGGCCUCCUCUCACUGGUGUGAAAGAGGGUUCUUAGAGAUGAUUGAUACGCAUACCCUAAGUAUGUUCCCUGGACCAGCAACAUCAGCAUUACUCAGAAGCUUGUUAGACCCUACCUCAGAUCUACUGGAUCAGAAUUUGCUUUCCAA
RNAcentral lists this long non-coding RNA (412 nucleotides) under Pan troglodytes (chimpanzee). RNAcentral's name for it is "long non-coding RNA NONPTRT007517". The record is from RNAcentral. Lineage: Eukaryota; Metazoa; Chordata; Mammalia; Primates; Hominidae.